UUAACUCAAAUUUGUAUGGAGUUGGAUAGUUUGCCGCUAGGGGCGCUGUUCCAACUUCUUACAAAUUUGAGUAA
Molecule: microRNA precursor, 74 nt
Filed under: Bombyx mori (domestic silkworm)
Lineage: Eukaryota; Metazoa; Arthropoda; Insecta; Lepidoptera; Bombycidae
Description: mir-2807 microRNA precursor family
Rfam family: mir-2807 microRNA precursor family
Source: Rfam by way of RNAcentral